UACGGAGGGUGCGAGCGUUGUCCGGAAUCACUGGGCGUAAAGGGCGCGUAGGCGGCAUGCCAAGCGUGUGGUGAAAGCCCGGGGCUCAACCCCGGGUCGGCCGUGCGGACUGGCGUGCUCGAGCACUGUAGGGGCGGGUGGAACUCCGGGUGUAGCGGUGGAAUGCGUAGAGAUCCGGAAGAACACCGGUGGCGAAGGCGGCCCGCUGGGCAGGAAGGCUCGCAAGAGCCGGCUGACGCUGAGGCGCGACAGCGUGGGGAGCAAACAGG
RNAcentral lists this ribosomal RNA (269 nucleotides) under uncultured bacterium. RNAcentral's name for it is "partial 16S ribosomal RNA". It matches the Rfam family "Bacterial small subunit ribosomal RNA", at positions 524 to 776 of the family's 1533-position model. The record is from RNAcentral.